Molecule: ribosomal RNA, 431 nt
Filed under: Globigerina bulloides
Lineage: Eukaryota; Foraminifera; Rotaliida; Globigerinidae
Description: bacterial SSU rRNA
Rfam family: Eukaryotic small subunit ribosomal RNA
Source: RNAcentral
UUAAUUUGACUCAACGCGGAAAAGCUUAUCUGGUCCGGACGCAGUGAGGAUUGACAGACAGUUUCAGGAGUGGUUCUUGGUAAACAAUUGAGAGAGUUGAAGUUCUUUCAUGAUCUUGUGAGAGGUGGUGCAUGGCCGUUCUUAGUUCGUGUAGUGAUAUGUCUGCCUAAUCGCGUCACGAUAACCUAUUGGUCGACAACCCAAUUAUCACAACUGCAGCAUAACUCCCCUUGGGUGGGCGAGGCUCUGUGUAGGAUAGACCUCUGAACAGUACGCAACGAACGCGAUCGUAAUCCCUUGUUGAGUGGCCAUCCUGUAAGCUGCUGGAUUAGGAACCCAGUGGUAUUAUCUCAGCCACAGAUUUUCUGGUUGUAAUGGGCCAGUUUUGAAACUCGGGGAACAUCUGUGACUUUCUUUCUUAACGCAAGGAA